AUCCAGUUGACGAGUUGCAAAAUAGGACGAAAUAUGUGUCCUGGAU
This 46-nucleotide non-coding RNA is filed under the name Schistosoma margrebowiei. The record is from RNAcentral. Lineage: Eukaryota; Metazoa; Platyhelminthes; Trematoda; Strigeidida; Schistosomatidae.